RNAcentral lists this transfer RNA (65 nucleotides) under Mantispa japonica. RNAcentral describes it as "tRNA-Tyr". Lineage: Eukaryota; Metazoa; Arthropoda; Insecta; Neuroptera; Mantispidae. The record is from RNAcentral.
GGUAAAAUGACUGAUAAUAGGUGAUAAACUGUAAAUUUAUUUAUGAGAAUAUUUCUCUUUUACCA